AUAUAAGAAGCAUAGUCCAUGUAUCGAACAUCAUCGUGAAAUAUUGAACAAAACAACAAAUAAGCUACUAGAAAUACCAAUACGUACAUAUAUACUUUCACACUAUUCAUCUAUAUAUACACAUAGGUUCACAUUUUUCAUCAAUACAAAUCGAAACAAAAGGUAAACACUAGAAGUCCAACAAUGCCAGCUUCCAUUAAGAGAAUCAAAUCUGCAAAAUGAGAAUAAGAACGUUAAAAGAAGAAGAAGAAGAAAACUAGAAGAAGAAGAAGAACAAGAAGAACAAGAAGAAGACUAGAAGAAGAAGAAGAUGAAACAGAAAGACAAGAAGAUGAAGAAGAAGUAGUAGUAG
RNAcentral lists this long non-coding RNA (352 nucleotides) under Hordeum vulgare. RNAcentral describes it as "long non-coding RNA (HVUL_LNC010010)". Lineage: Eukaryota; Viridiplantae; Streptophyta; Magnoliopsida; Poales; Poaceae. The record is from RNAcentral.